GAAAGCGCUUCCCGCCCUCGGUGUUCCUGCUCCCUCCCCCCCCGGAGGAGCUCUCCUCCCCCCGCCCCACCCUCAGCCUCACCUGCCUCGCCCGCGGCUUCUUCCCCGACUCCAUCGACGUCCAGUGGCAGAAAAACCAGGAGAAUCUCCAAAACAGCCAAAACUCCCCCAAAUUCCGGGUGGAGACGGGGCCGGCGCGGCGGGAGAUGGGGGGGGAGGGGCGCUACUUCCUCUACAGCCGAUUGGAGGUGGAGAGGGCGGAGUGGGAGCGGGGCUCCGCCUUCGUCUGCACCGUGGUGCACGAGGGGCUGCCCCUGCGCUUCCUGCAGCGCAGCGUGCACAAACACCCCGGUAAUUAGCAUAAUUAAUGAUUAAUAGCUGAUUAAAGGUCGUUAUUAGCGAAAA
Non-coding RNA from Onychostruthus taczanowskii (white-rumped snowfinch), 405 nucleotides. NCBI's taxonomy places the organism in Eukaryota, Metazoa, Chordata, Aves, Passeriformes, Passeridae. The record is from the annotation of a RefSeq genome assembly.